This 75-nucleotide unclassified non-coding RNA is filed under the name Serratia nematodiphila. RNAcentral's name for it is "sroD RNA". Lineage: Bacteria; Pseudomonadati; Pseudomonadota; Gammaproteobacteria; Enterobacterales; Yersiniaceae. The record is from RNAcentral.
UGUGGUUAAAUUCCUCAGCCAGCAGAAAUAAGCCUGAUUCAACAUGAAAAACGCCGGCAUCGCCGGCGUUUUUUU